AGAAUCAACGCUGGCGGCGUGCCUAACACAUGCAAGUCGCACGAGAAAGGGACUUCGGUCCUGAGUACAGUGGCGCACGGGUGAGUAACACGUGAAUUAUCUACCUCCGAGUGGGGAAUAACUGAGAGAAAUCUUAGCUAAUACCGCAUAACACUUACGAGUCAAAGCAGCAAUGCGCUUGGAGAGGAGUUCGCGGCAGAUUAGUUAGUUGGCGGGGUAAUGGCCCACCAAGACGAUGAUCUGUAUCCGGCCUGAGAGGGCGCACGGACACACUGGAACUGAAACACGGUCCAGACUCCUACGGGAGGCAGCAGUGGGGAAUUUUGCGCAAUGGGGGAAACCCUGACGCAGCAACGCCGCGUGGAGGAUGAAAUAUCUUGGUAUGUAAACUCCUUUCGAUGGGGAAGAUAAUGACGGUACCAUAGAAGAAGCCCCGGCUAACUUCGUGCCAGCAGCCGC
RNAcentral lists this ribosomal RNA (459 nucleotides) under uncultured bacterium. RNAcentral's name for it is "SSU rRNA". It matches the Rfam family "Bacterial small subunit ribosomal RNA", at positions 26 to 518 of the family's 1533-position model. The record is from RNAcentral.